RNAcentral lists this ribosomal RNA (253 nucleotides) under uncultured bacterium. RNAcentral describes it as "partial 16S ribosomal RNA". It matches the Rfam family "Bacterial small subunit ribosomal RNA", at positions 524 to 776 of the family's 1533-position model. The record is from RNAcentral.
UACGUAGGGGGCAAGCGUUGUCCGGAUUUAUUGGGCGUAAAGAGCGUGUAGGCGGCCAGGUAGGUCCGUUGUGAAAACUCGAGGCUCAACCUCGAGACGCCGAUGGAAACCACCUGGCUAGAGUCCGGAAGAGGAGAGUGGAAUCCUGGUGUAGCGGGUGAAAUGCGCAGAUAUCAGGAAGAACACCCGUGGCUAAGGCGGCUCUCUAGUACGGUACUGACGCUGAGACGCGAAAGCGUGGGGAGCGAACAGG